RNAcentral lists this ribosomal RNA (1357 nucleotides) under Pediococcus pentosaceus. Its description in RNAcentral is "bacterial SSU rRNA". It matches the Rfam family "Bacterial small subunit ribosomal RNA", at positions 82 to 1427 of the family's 1533-position model. Lineage: Bacteria; Bacillati; Bacillota; Bacilli; Lactobacillales; Lactobacillaceae. The record is from RNAcentral.
UAACACGAAGUGAGUGGCGAACGGGUGAGUAACACGUGGGUAACCUGCCCAGAAGUAGGGGAUAACACCUGGAAACAGAUGCUAAUACCGUAUAACAGAGAAAACCGCAUGGUUUUCUUUUAAAAGAUGGCUCUGCUAUCACUUCUGGAUGGACCCGCGGCGUAUUAGCUAGUUGGUGAGGUAAAGGCUCACCAAGGCAGUGAUACGUAGCCGACCUGAGAGGGUAAUCGGCCACAUUGGGACUGAGACACGGCCCAGACUCCUACGGGAGGCAGCAGUAGGGAAUCUUCCACAAUGGACGCAAGUCUGAUGGAGCAACGCCGCGUGAGUGAAGAAGGGUUUCGGCUCGUAAAGCUCUGUUGUUAAAGAAGAACGUGGGUAAGAGUAACUGUUUACCCAGUGACGGUAUUUAACCAGAAAGCCACGGCUAACUACGUGCCAGCAGCCGCGGUAAUACGUAGGUGGCAAGCGUUAUCCGGAUUUAUUGGGCGUAAAGCGAGCGCAGGCGGUCUUUUAAGUCUAAUGUGAAAGCCUUCGGCUCAACCGAAGAAGUGCAUUGGAAACUGGGAGACUUGAGUGCAGAAGAGGACAGUGGAACUCCAUGUGUAGCGGUGAAAUGCGUAGAUAUAUGGAAGAACACCAGUGGCGAAGGCGGCUGUCUGGUCUGCAACUGACGCUGAGGCUCGAAAGCAUGGGUAGCGAACAGGAUUAGAUACCCUGGUAGUCCAUGCCGUAAACGAUGAUUACUAAGUGUUGGAGGGUUUCCGCCCUUCAGUGCUGCAGCUAACGCAUUAAGUAAUCCGCCUGGGGAGUACGACCGCAAGGUUGAAACUCAAAAGAAUUGACGGGGGCCCGCACAAGCGGUGGAGCAUGUGGUUUAAUUCGAAGCUACGCGAAGAACCUUACCAGGUCUUGACAUCUUCUGACAGUCUAAGAGAUUAGAGGUUCCCUUCGGGGACAGAAUGACAGGUGGUGCAUGGUUGUCGUCAGCUCGUGUCGUGAGAUGUUGGGUUAAGUCCCGCAACGAGCGCAACCCUUAUUACUAGUUGCCAGCAUUAAGUUGGGCACUCUAGUGAGACUGCCGGUGACAAACCGGAGGAAGGUGGGGACGACGUCAAAUCAUCAUGCCCCUUAUGACCUGGGCUACACACGUGCUACAAUGGAUGGUACAACGAGUCGCGAGACCGCGAGGUUAAGCUAAUCUCUUAAAACCAUUCUCAGUUCGGACUGUAGGCUGCAACUCGCCUACACGAAGUCGGAAUCGCUAGUAAUCGCGGAUCAGCAUGCCGCGGUGAAUACGUUCCCGGGCCUUGUACACACCGCCCGUCACACCAUGAGAGUUUGUAACACCCAAAGC